RNAcentral lists this ribosomal RNA (422 nucleotides) under uncultured bacterium. RNAcentral's name for it is "bacterial SSU rRNA". It matches the Rfam family "Bacterial small subunit ribosomal RNA", at positions 355 to 774 of the family's 1533-position model. The record is from RNAcentral.
UAAGGAAUAUUGGUCAAUGGACGCAAGUCUGAACCAGCCAUGCCGCGUGGAGGAUUAAGGCCCUCUGGGUUGUAAACUCCUUUUAUCUGGGAAGAAAUGUACUUUUUCUUGAGUACUUGACGGUAUCAGAGGAAUAAGCACCGGCUAACUCCGUGCCAGCAGCCGCGGUAAUACGGAGGGUGCAAGCGUUAUCCGGAUUCACUGGGUUUAAAGGGUGCGUAGGUGGGCAGGUAAGUCAGUGGUGAAAUCUCCGGGCUUAACCCGGAAACUGCCGUUGAUACUAUUUGUCUUGAAUAUUGUGGAGGUAAGCCGAAUAUGUCAUGUAGCGGUGAAAUGCUUAGAUAUGACAUGGAACACCAAUUGCGAAGGCAGCUUACUAUGCGGUGAUUGACACUGAGGCACGAAAGCGUGGGUAGCAAACA